UAGUAGAUGCACCCUGAUAACUAACUUCCCCUAGCUGGCUAACACCCACUGGGGGUUUUUUAU
Small RNA from Anabaena cylindrica PCC 7122, 63 nucleotides. It matches the Rfam family "Nitrogen stress-induced RNA 1". Lineage: Bacteria; Bacillati; Cyanobacteriota; Cyanophyceae; Nostocales; Nostocaceae. The record is from Rfam.